RNAcentral lists this long non-coding RNA (897 nucleotides) under Equus caballus (horse). RNAcentral describes it as "lncRNA (ENSECAG00000029721.2)". The record is from RNAcentral. Lineage: Eukaryota; Metazoa; Chordata; Mammalia; Perissodactyla; Equidae.
CCUAGCUACUUAAUCAUCAAUAGCUAACUGUUUGCCACCGGACGUCAGCACUGGCAGAGCAGGAAGCGCUCAUUCCAUCCUGCUCCCCUUUCUAGAGACGUAAGACUCAGAAAGUGAAGUGGUUGAGCUGGGCUCCAUCUCCUACCCUCCUCGCUGCCGCUCCUUGCGCUACACCACACUUCUCUCUGCUUCUUGCAAACUCGCUGAGUCUACUGGCAGCCACUCUAACAGGUUUACAAUUGGCAAAGCUAUUGGGAGGGGAGCUUCACUGUUUAGUUGCAAACUAAGGGCUUCCUCAGUUCCAGUCUCCCUAGUCAAGCAGUCACUGUCACAGGCAGGUCAUCAUACCACCACGGAGUAGCUGACAGACCUUCUGUUUUGGAGAAGGAGAUUGCAUCACCAACCAGCUUCUGUGUCUUCGGUAUUCUUGACUACAGGAUGAGCCAAACAGUUAAGUUCAGAUUGGCUGUACCACAAUGUGGUCAUUUUGCUCAUCUGAACAUGGCUUACACCAAAAGAAACUAUCCUGCGCACAUAGCUGUUUCUCUCCUCCUUCUUUAUGACACAGAAGGUUUCUGGAGAGUGGAGCUAAGCCACACCCACCCUCCAGUCCUGCAUCCAGUCAACAAAUGCCAAGGACGUCUCUGUGGAACAUCAGGAAAACCUCUAACCAUGAAGCAUGAGAAUUAUGGGGACACAGAAUAUGGUGUGUAUCCGCCUAGGCAUGUGCUUGGAGAGAACCGUGGUGAAACUCCCCGGGACAUCAAUGUUUCUACAGAUGUUUUGCACAAAACUAAACAUUUGAACUGACCCACGCUACUGGAGAGAGGUUCGAGAGUGGCCAAAGACCCCUCCACCAGAUAGCUUAUAAGAAGGAAUUAGAACUUUCUUCUAUUC